RNAcentral lists this non-coding RNA (51 nucleotides) under Trichobilharzia regenti. The record is from RNAcentral. Lineage: Eukaryota; Metazoa; Platyhelminthes; Trematoda; Strigeidida; Schistosomatidae.
GUACUGAUGAAGAGUCCCAAAACUAGGACGAAACAGCUAGCUGUCCAGUAC